This 483-nucleotide ribosomal RNA is filed under the name uncultured bacterium. RNAcentral's name for it is "partial 16S ribosomal RNA". It matches the Rfam family "Bacterial small subunit ribosomal RNA", at positions 30 to 507 of the family's 1533-position model. The record is from RNAcentral.
AUUGAACGCUGGCGGCAGGCCUAACACAUGCAAGUCGAGCGGAUGAAGGGAGCUUGCUCCUGGAUUCAGCGGCGGACGGGUGAGUAAUGCCUAGGAAUCUGCCUGGUAGUGGGGGAUAACGUCCGGAAACGGGCGCUAAUACCGCAUACGUCCUGAGGGAGAAAGUGGGGGAUCUUCGGACCUCACGCUAUCAGAUGAGCCUAGGUCGGAUUAGCUAGUUGGUGGGGUAAAGGCCUACCAAGGCGACGAUCCGUAACUGGUCUGAGAGGAUGAUCAGUCACACUGGAACUGAGACACGGUCCAGACUCCUACGGGAGGCAGCAGUGGGGAAUAUUGGACAAUGGCGAAAGCCUGAUCCGGCCAUGCCGCGUGUGUGAAGAAGGUCUUCGGAUUGUAAAGCACUUUAAGUUGGGAGGAAGGGCAGUAAGUUAAUACCUUGCUGUUUUGACGUUACCAACAGAAUAAGCACCGGCUAACUUCGUG